RNAcentral lists this unclassified non-coding RNA (345 nucleotides) under soil metagenome. RNAcentral describes it as "partial contains 5.8S ribosomal RNA, internal transcribed spacer 2, and large subunit ribosomal RNA". The stretch from base 1 to 119 matches the Rfam family "5.8S ribosomal RNA", at positions 35 to 154 of the family's 154-position model. The record is from RNAcentral.
GAUGAAGAACGCAGCGAAAUGCGAUACGUAAUGUGAAUUGCAAAUUCAGUGAAUCAUCGAGUCUUUGAACGCACAUUGCGCCCCCUGGUAUUCCGGGGGGCAUGCCUGUCCGAGCGUCAUUGCUGCCCUCAAGCACGGCUUGUGUGUUGGGCCCCGUCCUCCGAUCCCGGGGGACGGGCCCGAAAGGCAGCGGCGGCACCGCGUCCGGUCCUCGAGCGUAUGGGGCUUUGUCACCCGCUCUGUAGGCCCGGCCGGCGCUUGCCGAUCAACCCAAAUCUUUAUCCAGGUUGACCUCGGAUCAGGUAGGGAUACCCGCUGAACUUAAGCAUAUCAAUAAGCGGAGGA